UGGCGACCGGCGCACGGGUGAGUAACACGUAUCCAACCUGCCGAUAACUCGGGGAUAGCCUUUCGAAAGAAAGAUUAAUAUCCGAUAGGAUAUCAAGAUCGCAUGAUCUUGAUAUUAAAGAAUUUCGGUUAUCGAUGGGGAUGCGUCCCAUUAGUUAGUUGGCGGGGUAACGGCCCACCAAGACGACGAUGGAUAGGGGUUCUGAGAGGAAGGUCCCCCACAUUGGAACUGAGACACGGUCCAAACUCCUACGGAAGGCAGCAG
RNAcentral lists this ribosomal RNA (264 nucleotides) under uncultured bacterium. RNAcentral's name for it is "partial 16S ribosomal RNA". It matches the Rfam family "Bacterial small subunit ribosomal RNA", at positions 89 to 354 of the family's 1533-position model. The record is from RNAcentral.